UGAACACAGAUGGCACAUAAGCACAGAGAUCAUCCAAGUUUCUCGUGGACAUUGGAGGGGCGAGAUGAAUGGCCCACUGCACAGAGUCAGCCUGAAGGCCCACGAUGUUGGCACUGUUCCUCCGGCAUUCAGAGCAGCCCUGAAGCUCUGCCAAUCACACCU
Molecule: long non-coding RNA, 162 nt
Filed under: Bos indicus x Bos taurus (hybrid cattle)
Lineage: Eukaryota; Metazoa; Chordata; Mammalia; Artiodactyla; Bovidae
Description: lncRNA (ENSBIXG00000013039.1)
Source: RNAcentral